RNAcentral lists this long non-coding RNA (4884 nucleotides) under Sus scrofa (pig). RNAcentral describes it as "lncRNA (ENSSSCG00065024834.1)". The record is from RNAcentral. Lineage: Eukaryota; Metazoa; Chordata; Mammalia; Artiodactyla; Suidae.
AACAUUGAAUUUAUAAGAAUAAGGAUUAAGAUGUUUCAGAGAAGGCAAAAGAGAAAAGUAAAAUAAUUAAAAUGCACUAAGUUCUAAUAAAGUUGUCUUAGAAAUAAUAGCAACAAAAAUUAAAGACCGCUAUACCAAUUAUCUUAACAUCUCAUUCUGAUUAUCACUUAUUAACCAUGGCAGUCACUUAACCAUCUUGCCUUCAGUUUUCUCUCAUCUAUUAAUCUUAAUAAAAUAUUAAUAUGCAUAGUACAUAGUUAGAAACAUCAAUGGCAUAAUGUGUAAAAAUACUUUAAACAAUAAAGAAACCAUAUUUGAAUUAUUAUAAACUAUAUAUUGAUUAUAAGUAUAAUAAUGAGAUUGGGGAAAUGUACUUUUAAUAUUCCACAAAAUGACUUAUUAGUGCAAAAAUGAGUUAUCACCAUAGUAUUUUGUUCACUACCUGAUUCACUUUAUUAUAACAAACUUUUAUAUUUAAAUCUUUCAGGAGUUUCCUUGGCGGCUCAGCAGAUACGAAUUUGACUAGUAUCCAUGAGGAUGCAGGUCUGAUUCCUGGCCUCGCUCAGUGGGUUAAGGAUUCAGUAUUGCUAUGAAAUAUGGUGUAGGUUAUAGAUGGGGCUUGGAUUUGGUGUUGCUGUCUGUGGCUGUGGCCAGCGGCUACAGGCUACAGCUCCAAUUUCACCUCUAGCCUGGGAACCUCCAUAUGCCACAGGUAUGGUCCUAAAAAAAGAAAAAUUAAAUCUUUCAACUUUUCUCUAAAUUUGAUUUAUUUUUCUUGUUUUAUGAUUCAAACAUUUAUUAACUCCCUUACCCAACAUUUUCAAAUAAUUUAAAAUCAAAUACAUAUUGGGAGUUCCCUUUGUGGCUCAAGAGAAUGAACCCAACUAGGAUUCAUGAGAAUGUGGGUUCAAUCCCUGGCCUCGAUCAGUGGGUUAAGGAACUGGUGUUGCAGUGAGCUGUGGUGUAGAUCACAGACAGCUUGGAUCCUAUAUUGCUGUGGCUGUGGCAUAGGCCAGCAGCUGCAGCUGUGAUUCAACCUCUAGCCUGGGAACUUCCAUACACUGCAGGAGUGGCUCUAAAAAGGAAAAAAAAAAAAAAAAUAUAUUUAUUAAAUCCCGAAUGUGUACAAGGCACUAUGUCAUAUCCCUUUACUAAGAGGGUCAUCCAACUGUGGACUGACAAGGCCCUUUCCUUUCUUCAUUUUUCCUCUUGGAUUUCCAUUUAGUUUAACUGGUAACUUACCUGAGAUUCCCUCUACUCCUAACUACUUAAAAAAGAAGACAAGAAACGAAAUUUAUUCAUCUCCUAUUAUGCACUUGGCACUAUAUUUAUAUUUACAUUAUCUCAGUCAAUCCUCACAAGAACCAUAGGAAACAGGCAUUCACAUCACCUUUUAGAAAUAAAAAAGAUAAGAACCACAGCAGAGUAAAAAUUUAAAGCAGGUCUGCUGACUCCAAAGCCUAUGGUCCAUCCACUACAUCAGUACUCUCCAGACUUUCAGAUUUCACAAGACAAAACAAGAUGCACACACACACACACACACACACACACACACACACACACACACACACACAAGUGUAUUAUUUUAUAAAACAAAAGCAUAUUAACAUAAAAAAGGAAAAGAAAGACAAUCUCAAAAUAAGAAACAAGCCUUCUGAAGAAGGCAUAGUUGACAACCUCUCACUGAUAUUUUCACCACAGAGCGGGUCCUCCAACUGGCAAAUGAGAACAAAUGCACUGAAGCAGACUGUUUCCCGUAAGAAAGAAGCAGAAUAGAGAACCUAAAAUACUGCCCUGCUUAUUUUUCCUAAUUUCAAUACAAAAGUGACAAGAAUGCAUGUUGCCUUAACUAAAGCCAUGGGCUUUCCUCAAAGUUCUACAUGCCAAGGCUCUGAGGACAACGAAAAUUAGAGGCUUAAAAAAUAAGUCAAAGCAUCUUCUGGUAUGAAGAGGUCAACUUAUUCAUUAUUAUCAUGCAUUUUCACAGACAGCAGACAUCUUUAGGCUUUUCCUUCGAAAAACAAAAAUCUGUGUAUCUGAUGUCAUCAGAAGAGUGGUUCAAGAAUUCAGAUCUAUUACCUCACACCUCAGAGAUUCAUCCACCUUCACUUGUGUUCCUGGCUUUCCAGCCUUAUCUAUUAUAAUUAAGAAGAGCAAGGACAUUGUCUGCCUCAAAUUUUGAUGCAGGAUCUGAUAUUAGGAUGCUAUGUUACUAUCUAAGAGUCAAUACACAGUAAAUCUAUAAGCUCAUUGCCAAUGCCAGAAAAAGUGUAAAAUAUUACUAAGUAAAUUUGAGCUAAAUUUUCAGAAUAAAUUUACAUUUUUAAAAACACAGUUUGUCCUCCAACAAUAACCAACAAGAAAAGUCAUAAAAAUUUUUAAACACAUAUAAUCUAAAUAUUACAGUCUCAUCCACAGCUCUGUUUCUAAUUUCAUCUACUAGAUAGGCAAAAGAUGGGAUCAAGGGUCUAGGGAGAGAAGCAGACAGACAGAAAACAACUUGCUAUUUGCUCUCCAUUGGCACUUGGAACUGACCUCUAUAGUUCAUUACCAUUUAUGGGUAUCCCGUGUAUGAGGUAUCUCAUCAUGUACUUUACCGCCUCCAAUCCCUGCUUCAUCACUACUCCAUCCUGAACUGCCUUAAAGUCUUAAGAAUGGAUCAUGCUCACUAGAUACCUGAAGCUUCUAAAUGACUGCUUGGAAAUAAAGUUCGUAGUUUUAUGAAAUAACUCUUUUAGGGCAAUAUAUUUGGCAAAUCCUCUCUUUUAAGGAUUAAAUAGUACCCUGGUUGAUCUACUACAUUUUAUACGGUACAGCUAGGUUAUGUAUUUCCACUGCUCAAAGAUUAAAAAAUACAAAUAAGAAGCCCUGAUUCUGUCAAUGAUCCCCUUGAAGGUCAUGAUACAACAUUACUGGAAUAGUCUACCCAUGCUAUAAAUGAAAUGCCUUUUUUUUUUUUUAAAGCUACAAAGGAGGUAAAUAAAGUACCUUUCAGGGCAAUAUAUUUAGGUUUUAAUCUUACUGAAUGUAGUCAUUGUAUAUACACUUCCCUUUACUCAGACUAUCCACUGUUAUUUUAAUCAUUUUUUAAGGCCUAAUUCAAAUACGUAUUUCACUGUGGAUAUUUCCCUAUUAAUCUAUAUAAAUUCAAUACCACAUACUGUAUGCUCACACUGCAUAGUGAAUAAGCCUUCAAUAUUCAUCACCAUUUAUAAGCUUCUAAUAUGUAGGCACCUAAGGUGCUAAACUCAUUGUUUCCAAGUCUUUCUCCCUCACAUCACUGUAAGUCUGUCCACAGGAGCCUUAACAAGAGUUUUUUACAGUCAGCACCUAUCACAGAACUUCAUAAUAAUAGGCUUUGAACAAAUGUUCAUACUUUAUUAAGAAUACAUUUUAGGAGUACUACUCAGGAAUAAAAAAGAAUGAAAUACUCUGAUUUGUAGCAAACUGGAUAGAGAAUAUUAUCCUCAGUGAAGUAAGUCAGAGAAAGACAAAUGCUGUAUGAUACCACUUAUAUAUGGAAAUCUAAAAAACAAUACAAAUGAAUAUAUCUGCAAAACAGAAAGACUCACAGAUACAGAAACAAACUGCUGGUUACCAAAGGGGAGAGCAAAGUAAGGUGGGAUAAAUUAGGGAUAUGAGAUUAACAGAUAUAAACUACUAUAUAUAAAAUAGAUAAGCAACAAGGAUUUACUGUAUAGUACAGGGGAUUAUACCCAUUAUCUUGUCAUGACCUAUAGUGGACUAGGAGUUCCUGUCAUGGCUCAGUGGUUAACGAAUCCGACUAGAACCAUGCGGUUGUGGGUUCAAUCCCUGGCCUCGCUCAGUGGGUUAAGGAUCCAGCGUUGCUGUGAGCUGUGAUGUAGGUUGCAGACAUGACUCAGAUCCCACGUUGUUACUGUGGCUCUGGCGUAGGCCUGUGGCUACAGCUCCAAUUAGACCCCUAGCCUGUGAACCUCCAUAUGCUGCAGGUGCGGCCCUAGAAAAAGACAAAAUAAUAAUAAUCAUAACAAAAAUACUGAAUCACUAAGCUGUACACCUGAAACUAACAUAAUAUUGUAAAUCAACUAUACUUCAAUAAAAAAAGAGUGCACAUUUUAACAGAAACAUAAAAUUGUAUUUGCCCAAAAUAUAAGAACUAUAAUUUGUUCAGAAUCUUUAAGUUUUAUAUUCUAAUGCAAAAUUUGAUGCUUGAUUGUCCUCAAUAAGUAAAACUGAUAUAGACAUUUGCUCGGCAACCGUAUGUUUUCCACAUAUCAAUAUUCAUUUCUGACUUUUUUUCCAUUUUACAUAGAACAUCAAUUGCUGAAAUAAUUUUGUCUCUAAAUCAGGAGUUAUUCAUUGAAUGCUUUAUUACAAUGGAGUCAAACAGACCUGUGUUCAAAUCUCAGCUCAAUUACUUACUCGCCAUAUGAUCUUGCUAAGUUUCUUCAUUUAUAGAAUGGAGAUAAUAUAUGGUAUCUUGUUUCACAGGUUACUGUGAAAAGUAAAUCAGAUAAUAUAUUUUAAGCAAUGGCACAUAGUACUAAACACUCAGUAAACAGGCAGCUGUUGUACCCAUGAUAUAGACUUAGCUCUAACCCUGCAAUAAUUACAGUCCUGUUUUAAACCAGUUGUACUUAAACAGAUGUGUCUAAAGAAGAACUCAAAAAAAAAAAAAAAUACUUGUGGGAGUUCCUUUCGUGGCUCAGUGGUUAACGAACCCAACUAGGAUCCAUGAGGAUGUAGGUUCAAUCCCUGGCUUUAGUCAGUAGGUUAAGGAUCCGGUUUUGCUGUGAGCUGUGGUGUAGGUCACAGAUGCGACUCAGAACCUGUGUUACUGUGGCUAUGGCAUAAGCUGGCAGCUGUAGCUCCAAUUCAACUCCUAGCCUGUGAACUUCCAUA